CAUCAUUUACCGAGAAUAGAGAUUGAUUACGAGAAGGGCGUGAAAUAUUCGGGUUACGAGUAAUACGCUGUGUCCAAGAACGCAAAUCGCAGUAUGUCACAAAUGACACAAAUGUUUGUGAGAAAAACACCUUGGAUUUCUUUUAUUUAUACAAUGACUUUGUGUCAAGAAAUUUGGACUGUGAAUGAAACCCAAAAGCGUAAGAAUCGUGGAACACGUUUGACUGGAAUACAGAAAUUGACACAAGCAUGAACUUUAUAGAUUGGUGACCGUAUUUUGAAUUCAGAAAAUCGACAAACAUACGCAUUUUUAAUUUAUUAAUUUAUAGCAAGC
This 333-nucleotide long non-coding RNA is filed under the name Mytilus galloprovincialis (Mediterranean mussel). The record is from RNAcentral. Lineage: Eukaryota; Metazoa; Mollusca; Bivalvia; Mytilida; Mytilidae.